GAUGAACGCUGGCGGCGUGCCUAAUACAUGCCAGUCGAGCGAACGGACGAGAAGCUUGCUUCUCUAAUGUUGGCGGCGGACGGGUGAGUAACACGUGGAUAACCUACCUAUAUGACUGGGAUAACUACGGGAAACCGGAGCUAAUAACGGAUAAUAUUUUGUACCGCAUGGUUCAAAAGUGAAAGACGGUCUUGCUGUCACUUAUAGAUGGAUCCGCGCUGCAUUAGCUAGUUGGUAAGGUAACGGCUUACCAAGGCAACGAUGCAUAGCCGACCUGAGAGGAUGAUCGGCCACACUGGAACUGAGACACGGUCCAGACUCCUACGGGAGGCAGCAGUAGGGAAUCUUGCGCAAUGGGCGAAAGCCUGACGGAGCAAUACCGCGUGAGUGAAGAAGGUCUUCGGAUUGUAAAGCUCUUUUAUUAGGGAAGAACAUCAGUGUAAGUAACUGUCGAUAUUUUGACGGUACCUAAUCAGAAAGCCCCGGCUAACUACGUG
Molecule: ribosomal RNA, 497 nt
Filed under: uncultured bacterium
Lineage: Bacteria
Description: partial 16S ribosomal RNA
Rfam family: Bacterial small subunit ribosomal RNA
Source: RNAcentral